GCUUGUGCGGUGACGUCAUGGGAGGCGAGCCCAGUCACGUGACAUUGGAAAACAUCGGACGGCCCAUCCAUUCGCCUUCACGGCUUUGGCUCGGUGUCGUCGUUGUCACUGUGGAGAGAUGGCUCGUUGUAGCGUCUCUAUUGCUAUUUUCAGCAAAAGCUUCGCGGAUAAAUCUUGUUUGAUAUUUGAAGCAAGUGAAUUGAGCGAUGUUUCGAGUGACAUAAUCAAGAAUCACCUUCAAAGGAAUGGGUUGAGCGUCACGGGCAACAGAAAAGUUUUGGUUCGACGGUGUCUCGGGAACCUAAAUCGUUGAGGCUGCGAAAAUGACGAAAACGAGAGUAGCAGCAGGAACGCUACCAUGAGUGACCUCGGUAGUUGCAGGUUCCACACUAUCGUCGCGGUGCCACUUCCUCUAGAAAGCUUUACUAUGAGUAAUGUGAUGGACUACUUCAUCUUCCGCCAGUUGGAGGCUGGUAUAGACGCAGAUUAUAAAGGCAGGGACUCCAGAUUGCACCUACAGAUGUUCUACAGAAAUGGCAUCAACCUUCUGUCAUCAAGAUUGGACCAACGCGUCUGAAGGACAUCAUGGUUUCGGAAACUGUCAAAUAUAGGGAAUGUGAUGUCAGUGUUCCUCGUGUUACAGACAGCGAGUUGCAACAGUUUGUCCAAGGGAUGGGAUCCGACACAAUGUAUGCAAGAAGCUUGUUUGUGCAACACGCUUACUUGGAGCCACCACCAGACAACCUCCCAAUGUCAACUGUUCUACCAGAUAUUGCUUAUCAUCCCCAAGAAUGUACAACUCAGAUCCUCCUGUAUUAUGCUGAGCAUGUUCGGCUUGACCUACAAGAGUGUCAGGGACUUCAGGAACGUACAAGAGCUCAGUUUUUGUGUCAUUUAUGGCAUGAUGAAAGAAAGCUCCGCCUCACAGCAUCCAAUUUUGGGAGGGUAAUUUCUAGGAGAGACGAUUUCAAGAAACUUGCAGUUGAUCUAACUAGUAAAAAAAAUAUCAGCCACGUUCCAGCUGUACGUCAUGGCAUUCAGUCUGAGAAAGUGGCAAAACAGAGAUUUUUGGAAUACAGUAACUCAACAAUAAUAUACGACUGUGGCUUGGUAGUAAAUCCAAAGUUUCCUUAUCUGGCAUGUUCCCCUGAUGGUCUUUUGUACAUUGAUGGUGAACCAGCUCUCAUUGAAUGCAAAGCACUGUAUAAUGCUAAGGGAAAAUCUGUGUCUGAAGCAUUGAAUGACAGAAUGUACCCUUAUCUUGUGAGUAAUGGCUCAUCACUAUCCUUGAAACAGGAUCAUAUGUAUUUUUAUCAGGUCCAGGGCCAAAUGGCUAUCACUGGUGUACACCAUUGCUUCUUUGUAGUCAUUGCUGACCUCACAAAGGAAC
Long non-coding RNA from Ornithodoros turicata, 1390 nucleotides. RefSeq lists it as uncharacterized. Lineage: Eukaryota; Metazoa; Arthropoda; Arachnida; Ixodida; Argasidae. The record is from RefSeq and is a predicted model, not a curated record. The transcript has 3 exons.